RNAcentral lists this small nuclear RNA (116 nucleotides) under Pteropus alecto (black flying fox). Its description in RNAcentral is "U2 spliceosomal RNA". It matches the Rfam family "U2 spliceosomal RNA". From Rfam's summary of the family: U2 is a small nuclear RNA (snRNA) component of the spliceosome (involved in pre-mRNA splicing). Complementary binding between U2 snRNA (in an area lying towards the 5' end but 3' to hairpin I) and the branchpoint sequence (BPS) of the intron results the bulging out of an unpaired adenosine, on the BPS, which initiates a nucleophilic attack at the intronic 5' splice site, thus starting the first of two transesterification reactions that mediate splicing. Lineage: Eukaryota; Metazoa; Chordata; Mammalia; Chiroptera; Pteropodidae. The record is from Rfam by way of RNAcentral.
AUGGCUUCUUGGUCUUUUAGCUAAGAUCAUGUGUAGUAUCUUUCUUAUCAAUUUAAUAUUUCCUGGCAGGUAGAGCUAUUUGUACUUUUCAAACCCAUCGGGCUCCCUCACACCUC